Non-coding RNA from Ichthyophthirius multifiliis, 192 nucleotides. The record is from Rfam. Lineage: Eukaryota; Ciliophora; Oligohymenophorea; Hymenostomatida.
AUACCUUCUCGGCCUUUUGGCUAAGAUCAAGUGUAGUAUCUGUUCUUAUCAGUGUGACAACUGAUACUGUCCCUAUUAGGGACAUGUGGUUUCACAUUAAUUUUUCAUUGGGGUUGGGUUUACUAGUGGCUUGCCCUGGUCCCAACAUAGUUGCCCUAGGCUUGCACGAUUCCUAGGUGUGGCUAACCCAUU